Molecule: ribosomal RNA, 1146 nt
Filed under: uncultured organism
Description: bacterial SSU rRNA
Rfam family: Bacterial small subunit ribosomal RNA
Source: RNAcentral
ACAUUGGGACUGAGAUACGGCCCAGACUCCUACGGGAGGCAGCAGUGAGGAAUUUUGCGCAAUGGGUGAAAUCCUGACGCAGCAACGCCGCGUGACCGAUUGAAGCUUUUAGGAGUGUAAAGGUCUGUCGCGAGGGAAGAAAAUAACCGAGAAGAAAAGUUCGGUAGUUGACGGUACCUCGCAAGCAAGCUCCGGCUAACUUCGUGCCAGCAGCCGCGGUAAUACGAGGGGAGCAAGCGUUGUCCGAAAUAACUGGGCGUAAAGGGUACGUAGGCUUUUUUGUAUGUUUUCGGUGAAAGUCACAGGCUUAACUUGUGAAUUGCCGGAAAAACUGCAGAGAUUGAAUCCGAAAGGGGAAGGCAGAAUUCCUGGUGUAGCGGUGAAAUGCGUAGAUAUCAGGAGGAAUACCAGUGGCGAAGGCGGCUUUCUGGUUCGGAAUUGACGCUGAUGUACUAAAGCGUGGGUAGCAAACAGGAUUAGAUACCCUGGUAGUCCACGCCUUAAACUAUGGAUACUUGAUGUCGGGGCGUUCGGUCGACCCGGUGUCGUAGCUAACGUGUUAAGUAUCCCGCCUGGGGACUACGGUCGCAAGACUGAAACUCAAAGGAAUUGACGGGGGCCCGCACCAGCGGUGGAACAUGUGGUUUAAUUCGAUGCAACGCGAAGAACCUUACCUGGGCUUGACAUAUAUAUGGCGUAUGUAAGAAAUUAUGUAUUCUGUCUGUUUUUUCAGAUAGCAUAUAUACAGGUGAUGCAUGGCUGUCGUCAGCUCGUGUCAUGAGAUGUAGGGUUAAGUCCCUUAACGAGCGCAACCCUUGCUUUUAGUUGCCAUCAGGUAAUGCUGGGGACUCUAGAAGGACUGCCGAGGUUAACUCGGAGGAAGGUGGGGAUGACGUCAAGUCAGUAUGUCCCUUAUGUCCAGGGCUACACACGUGUUACAAUGGUCGGUACAGAGUGACGCUAAUCCACGAGGUGGCGCCAAUCACUUAAAGCCGAUCCCAGUUCGGAUUGGAGUCUGCAAUUCGACUCCAUGAAGUUGGAAUCGCUAGUAAUCGCAGAACAGCAUGCUGCGGUGAAUACGUUCCCGGGCCUUGUACACACCGCCCGUCACGCCAUGGAAGUUGGGAGUACCCGAAGUUGCUGUCC